Long non-coding RNA from Nothoprocta perdicaria, 684 nucleotides. RefSeq lists it as uncharacterized. NCBI's taxonomy places the organism in Eukaryota, Metazoa, Chordata, Aves, Tinamiformes, Tinamidae. The record is from RefSeq and is a predicted model, not a curated record. The transcript has 2 exons.
GCCCCGUGACAUUUUGUGUUCUUUAUUUUCCCCCUUGCGCUGUAACGGAGGCGGCUUGCGAAAGCUCGCCCUCAUUUACGGCUAUUAAGACAAGAGGAACAUCGGGAGUGCCCGCUUGCUUCUUCCACRACAUUAACACGCGUGCUACUCAGUGUGGAAUUUAAGAACAAAUUAGACUCCUCGUUUCCAACCUACGAACAGGAAUCUGCAGUGAUUGAUGGGUUGCUUUUAAUGCAUUUGCAGAAGCGAACUGAGCAAAGCAAAACUGUUGUCUCUAGGCUUAAAUUCACUGUACAGAGUUGAUAUUUCUACUGGAAAAUGUUUAGCGCACUCAAAUUUGAAAGGGUUGCUAACAACUGCUCCCAACCUAGCAUUGCUUAAAAUCAGGCUGUGGAUAUCACUUUGAUUCGGAAGUCGUGCAUUCAAAGAGAACAUUAAAAACUGUAAAAAAUUAGCCUGUGUGGUGAUGGCAGAGUCUGUAGCCUCAGAAGCAUUUUAUGCCUCCAUGAACUAGCACUGCCACCAAGAGAAAUUAUUUUAUUCUCUGCAGGUUCCUCCCAUGCUUACCCUCCACACAGAUCAGCGCAUAAGUGCUGAGCCAAAUACAGCAGCUGAGGUGGACUUACAACUCACCUGGCAAACAUAAAUAGGCAAAUAGAGAGGUACCUACUCAUUUUCAGUGCA